This 216-nucleotide ribosomal RNA is filed under the name uncultured bacterium. Its description in RNAcentral is "partial 16S ribosomal RNA". It matches the Rfam family "Bacterial small subunit ribosomal RNA", at positions 524 to 736 of the family's 1533-position model. The record is from RNAcentral.
AACGGGAGGAGCAAGUGUUAUUCAUAAUAAUUGGGCGUAAAGCGCAUGUAGGUGGUAAAUAAAGUUUAAAUUUAAAAUCUCUGGAUAAAACUCCAGAAAAAAGUUAAAUACUGAUUAACUAGAGUUCAAUAAAAGGAUAGUGGAAUUUCUAGAGUAGAGUUAAAAUUCUUAGAUCCUAGAAAGGAAGACCAAAGGCUGAGGCAACUAUCUAAGUUG